AUGUGGAGCUCCGGCUCCGACCUCGACGAGUCCGCCUCGACGGCGACGGCGGCCACCGCAUGCUCCCUGCAGCCGCAGACGCCGCCUCCGCCUCGCCGCCGCCGCAGCCGCAACCGCCGCCGCGCCCAGCGCCGGGUCAAGAACGGCCCCGAGGUGGAGGAGUCUGAGGCGGAGGCGGAGGAGGUGUGGUGCGGCGCGCAGUGGGAGGCGGCGUGGCCGCGGAGGGCGCGGCCGGUGGUGCUCGCCGGGGAGGACGCGGCCCCGGACGGCGCCGGAGCGGGCGCCGGGGACUCCGGCGUGGGGCGCGCCCGGAGCCUGACGGACGACGACCUGGAGGAGCUCAAGGGGUGCGUGGAUCUGGGGUUCGGCUUCAGCUACAACGAGAUCCCCGAGCUGUGCGGCACCCUGCCCGCGCUCGAGCUCUGCUACUCCAUGAGCCAGCGGUUCCUCGACGAGCACCAGCCGCCGUCCAAGGUCGAAGAUUUGGCUCCGGAGCCGCCGGCGGUCGUGCCUCCUCCGCCGGCCCAGCCCAUCCCCAACUGGAAGAUUUCCUGCCCUGGGGACAGCCCAGAUGAGGUGAAGGCGAGGCUCAAGUACUGGGCGCAGGCGGUGGCGUGCACCGUCAAGCUGUGCAGCUGA
RNAcentral lists this ribosomal RNA (639 nucleotides) under Triticum aestivum (bread wheat). Its description in RNAcentral is "partial small subunit ribosomal RNA". The record is from RNAcentral. Lineage: Eukaryota; Viridiplantae; Streptophyta; Magnoliopsida; Poales; Poaceae.